CCUACGGGAGGCAGCAGUAGGGAAUAUUGCUCAAUGGGGGAAACCCUGAAGCAGCAACGCCGCGUGGAGGAUGAAGGUUUUCGGAUUGUAAACUCCUUUUGUUAGAGAAGAUAAUGACGGUAUCUAACGAAUAAGCACCGGCUAACUCCGUGCCAGCAGCCGCGGUAAUACGGAGGGUGCAAGCGUUACUCGGAAUCACUGGGCGUAAAGAGCGCGUAGGCGGGAUAGCAAGUCAGGUGUGAAAUCCUAUGGCUUAACCAUAGAACUGCAUUUGAAACUGUUAUUCUAGAGUAUGGGAGAGGUAGGUGGAAUUCUUGGUGUAGGGGUAAAAUCCGUAGAGAUCAAGAGGAAUACUCAUUGCGAAGGCGACCUGCUAGAGCAUAACUGACGCUGAUGCGCGAAAGCGUGGGGAGCGAACAGGAUUAGAUACCCGGGUAGUC
Molecule: ribosomal RNA, 440 nt
Filed under: uncultured bacterium
Lineage: Bacteria
Description: partial 16S ribosomal RNA
Rfam family: Bacterial small subunit ribosomal RNA
Source: RNAcentral